ACUGGGAAGGAUAGCUCUGACUUACCCACUGUCGCCCCAAACCCCUUUCAGGCAGAGCCAGGUCUGUGAGUGCCGAGGCUCCCAGGUGGAGGGCAGGAGGGCACUCAGCUUCGCAGACUGGGGAGAUGUGAGACUGGGACGCCCAUGUCAUCGACGCCCAUGUCCCCGCUUCCUGGAAUCAACGAAGCCAAAUUAUUCAUCAGAAGAUUACUUAGUAAACACAGAAUCAAACCAAACUACUGAGUCCACCUAGCUUCUCCUCCCUCAGGGUUUUCCAUCGGACAGCCUCUCACCUUGCCCCAUAGCAGGUUCUUUCCUACCCUCUAAGUGACAGCUGGGAUGUCAGCUCCUCAGAGGCCCUUCUGAGGCCCCUAUCAUUCUCUCCCAUCACUCUGUUUCCUUCUUUCUUGGUACCUCCCACAAUCUGUCAUUUUAUUUGUUUACUGUCUCUCUCUCCCACUAGACUCCACGAGGCCAGUGACCCUGACUGCUAAAGGUCAUAAACCAGCAGUCCAUGGGGCCACCACACACUUUUUUUGGUUUGGCUUGUGCAGUGUUUUUCCAAAAAUUCAAUUUAUUGGGAAUAUUUAAAAAUCAAGAGAUUUUAUAUAAAAAUCUGGAUUUCCAGGUUCUCUUGAAAAAGAUCUAGCACAAGGGGCUGGAUGUGAGUAGCAGCUGCAGCCUCUAGCUCCAACCUAACGCCCACCACACCCCAUGACAUCACACUUGGCUACGGUCUGCACUCCUUUAUCUUACCUGCCUGGCCCCUGGAGGCCUGUGGCGUCUAAAACCACUCUUUUCACCCCUGCAGCGGAGAGCGUUUCCAUUAAUAAAUGCAAAGAACAAGAAGGGUUGACUGAUUUGAAGGAAAUAUUCAUCUACGCUCCGAGAAGGCUCCACCACACACGAUUUGUAAGACACAAAGGACAUCCUUCAGGCGCCUGAAUUCUUCUCGGUCCCCCAGAACCAGCAUUACUCUCUCUUGGCCUCGUGCUAAUGAGCUAGGUGUCCUUUCCUUAGAUUAUCUAAAUGGUAAAUUUACAGACUAAUCCAUUUUUAGAUUAGAUUCAUCUAAAUGAUAAAUUAAUCUAAAUGCCAAAGUUAGGGUUUGGGUUAUAUUAUUCUAGGUUGAUUAAAUAAAGGUGCCGCCGUAAAUCUGCAAAGAAAGUGGGAGUAAGUGUGUGACCCGGUGGGUAGGUGGGUGGGUAUGAGAUAGGGGGCAUCUGUCAUGUGCGGGACGCUCGGCAGCUAAAUCCCCUCUAAGGAGUGCCAAUAACCCCCAGGAACAAUCCUUCCUGGAGCAGGUAACGCCGCAACAGAGUCAAGAGGAUGGAACGUGCCAGAGAACAUAGUGCGCAGGCGCGCCCGAAACCUCCGCCAAUUUUCUGCGCAGCCCAGACACCUUCCUUCCGCACUGCGCAGGCGCCUAGACUGACUAAGCUUUCCCUCCCCCUUCCAGCUCUCCGAGAGCCAGGAGGACGCCCUCCUGCAGCACUGAGCUCCUGCGCAAGCGCCGCGCCGCAUCUCCGCCCCCGAACCAAUUGGAAGAGGCGGCGCUUGGGCGCUCAGGGCACGACGCCGUGGGUGGGGCCGGGACGUGAGUGCAACGCGCUGGCGUCACAGGGGCGGCUAUAUAAGUGAAUACAGGCGCCGCCCCUCCGCCCCAGUCACUGAGCCGCCGCCGAGGACUCAGCAGCCUCCCCCUCGAGCCCCCUCGCUUCCCGACGCUCCGUCCCCCCCGCCCGCCUUCUCCCGCCGCCGCCUUCCGCAGGCCGUUUCCACCGAGGAAAAGGAAUCGUAUCGUAUGUCCGCUAUCCAGAACCUCCACUCUUUCGACCCCUUUGCUGAUGCAAGUAAGGGUGAUGAUCUACUUCCUGCUGGCACUGAGGAUUAUAUCCAUAUAAGAAUUCAACAGAGAAACGGCAGGAAGACUCUUACUACCGUCCAAGGGAUCGCUGAUGAUUACGAUAAAAAGAAACUAGUGAAGGCGUUUAAGAAGAAAUUUGCCUGCAAUGGUACUGUAAUUGAGCAUCCAGAAUAUGGAGAAGUAAUUCAACUACAGGGUGACCAGCGCAAGAACAUAUGCCAGUUCCUGGUAGAGAUUGGACUGGCUAAGGAGGACCAGCUGAAGGUUCAUGGGUUUUAAGUGCUUUUGGCUCAUUGAAGCUUAAGUGAGGAUUUCCUUGCAAUGAGUAGAAUUUCCCUUCUGUCCCUUGUCACAAGUUUAAAAACCUCACAGCUUGUAUAAUGUAACCAUUUGGGGUCUGCUUUUAACUUGGACUAGUGUAACUCCUUCAUGCAAUAAACUGAAAAGAGCCAUGCUGUCUAGUCUUGAAGUCCCUCAUUUAAACAGAGGUCAAGCAGUGGGCGCCUGGCAGUGUCCAGCCUGAAACAAAGCAAUAAUGUGAUGUUUCGGCCAAGCCCAGAGCCCCGAGAUCACAGAUGGCUAUGUCUGGCCAGAAGCUCCUCGGCUCUCCCUCUACAGAGUUCCCUGCCCUGAGAGAAUGUCACCACCUGAGCAGCCCUUGGUGAAGCUGAGAGGAGAGGAUGGGGUAAGGCAGCAACGGCAGCUGCACCACUAGGCGGGAGCCUUUGGUGGUCGAAGAGUGAUGCCCUGGUGUCUCCAGCCUGCCCGGGUGCACAGAGCUUAGAGUGGCCCCCUUCCCUCUAAUGAGGUGAUAGGACAUCUGGCUUGCCAGCGAGGUCUUUUUGACCAGACAUAUCCUAGCUAAUUGAUGUCCAAACACCAGAAUGUGAGGCCACCCUUCUAGCAGAGUUAAACUUUUGACAAGGGAACAAAUCUCAAACUGAUAUGUGUCAGUCACGUAGCCAGCUGUAGAACUUGCGGCUUGACUAGCAGCAGCUGCCCAAUGCCAUGUGAAGUAACAAACUGGUCUUUGGUUUUUUCCUUCCCUUCAGUUUUAAUGUUAUGUAAUGUAUUUAAACCCUUAUUUAAAUAAAACUUGGUUUUCAGAAACACCUGAUUUGCAGAUUCUAUUUUUUUGUAUAGCCGAUCUUGUAUGUGAAGAAACUGCAGAAAUGGGCAGUGGCUGUUAGGUCUACACCCGUAGCUUCUCAACUGGGGCCUGAAUCUCUUGGCCAAGAAAACCUAGUGAGCUUGUCCCUUCCAAGUGCCCCACGGGUCAGCUGAUUUGCGAGCAUUUAGCCAGGGGUACACGAUCCCAUUAAUCUGUCCUGAAAGACGGUGCUGCGUGGCUGAUGGAUGCUUGGCCAGUAGUCUGAGUGAUCAGUGGUUACUGGGCUGUCACUGCUCUCAGUGGUUGUCGAGGAACUUGUGAGGUGACAGAGCAGGUUGAUUGGAAAUCCCUGAGUUCCCUCAGUAAAGGGGCCAUGGCUUAAAGCUGUAACAAAAGGGCAAACGUGGUGUGGGAUUUGAUCUAAUCCACAAAGCCCUGGAAGAGAUGCACGAGCGUGUACUUCUAGGGAAUAGGUUUGCAGUAUUAAAAAGUUCAGUGACUAAAGUGUUGGAGAUGAAAUUGAACGUUGGGAGGCCACCCCUUCACAAAGGAUGAUGAGUAGUAAGUAUAUAGAGGUCUAUUCUUGGGGCCGUUGAUUCUGUUACAUAAUAGAAUUCUUCCAGCAUGUGGAUCACGAGAACUGGUACUAAUUUCAGGUACAGAAAUAAAGGCUUCAAACCGCUGAGAAUGGUCAUGAGGAAUCAGCCCUUUUCGUGUUUGUUGCCAGCCCCUGUCUUGUAGAUAAAGGCUAACCUGGAACCGGCUGAGGUGUGGGGGAGGGUGGGUGAAAGGCUGAGCCACCGGCAUGUGCUCUGGAAAUAGAAGAUGAUUCUAACCCCAGAGGUGGAAGCUUUAUUAAGAUAAGGUCCUACAAAACUGAUCUAGUAAAAGGAAGAAUUUACCACUUGACUCCAGACUGAUAGUCUUCAAACGUGUGGGUGAUACUUUGAAAUCAGUAAGAUUUGACUGUAGACAAGAGUGCUUUUCUUGAGGCACUUGUGGAAGCAACCCUGGAGGCUGUCCCCACAGAAAACCACAAGCAGAGGGUGGGAGGAAACAAUCACAGGCUGUAGGUUGAUGUGCAGGUCCUGUGCUGUGCUGUAGCUCAGCUUAACAUCUUUUGCUCCUUUUAAGGACCUCCAAUUCUCUAGAAGGAUUAUUCCAAGUUAAAGUAGCAACAUCAGUAUUAAAAUCAGCUGUCUGGAACCAAGCAAAACCAAUUACCUGUGAACUAGGAGGUUUGUCGACACUGUAGUGCAGUUGAUGUGACUUGGGUGUACCUCAGGGCUGAAAUUAAGCAUAGUUCUCUCCACUUGAUGAUUGAGAAAACAGAUGUGGGAGUUUGCAAGGCUGGUAAGUGGUGGAACCUCAUCUGGAACCCGGGACUCUCUGCUCUUCCGUCGGAUGACGACAUUCACAAUCUUAGUAGCUCAUUUGACAGAUUGGUUGGUACGCGCAGUGCAUCGUGGGGAAUCAGCGCACAAAGGCGAGUCAAGCAGACACCCUGUGCUUGGGAAGCUGACGGCCUGAGAGGGCUGUCAAGACCAGCACAGAGCCUUGACGCGAGGCAGAAAGGGGCAAUGCCACCACUGGUGUGGCCGAAGAGCCACAGGAUCUCUGAGGAUUGGGAAAUCUUCCCCACCCUCAUCUGUGCCAGGGAAGGCUUCAUAAGGGAGGUGCCACUGAAGUGGGGCAUUCCAGGUAACGUGGAACAGGAGUCAAGACCUAGAGGUGGAAGCACCCAGUGUGUAUGAGGAAUCUAAGCUAGGACCGUUUGGCUGGAACAAAGGGCCUGCAUAGAGCAGAAAAAUACAGUUCUGUCUCUCACUGUGUGCCAGGCGUGUGUCAAGGGCUUCAGGUGUACAUCGACUCAUUGAUUUAGCAGUAGAGCCUCAGUCCCAUGGUGACACUGAGACUCAGAGAGGUAACAUAACUUAGCAAGUAGGUGGAGAGAAGGGAGUAGAGGAAAGUGAGGGCUGGAAGGUUGGUGUGAGAUGAGAGCAGGCUAAGACCUUUAGAUGUUUCUGUACAAAAGCAUCUCUGACAAAUGUCUCGCGGCGCUCUGCUCCCUCGUUCCUCUCCCCGACCUCCAGUCUCUUCUGUCUAUGUCCUCGUUCCCCUCUCUGUCCAACAUUCACCCCUUCCUUCUUCUCCCGUUACCUCCCGUGUCUCCCCUCAGUCUGCCUGCCCCACCCCAGGCCUCAGCAGCCCUCCUGCCCCGGUGCCCACCCUCUGCAAUAGGGACAAGCAGGGACAAACCGAAAAUUCCUUAAAAUGGUGCUGUGAAGACAAAAUGUGAACUGGUCAGCUAAAACUGAGCAGCAAUCUACAAAAACUAAAGCCUAUUCUAAUUUUACCUAGAAAUAGGUCAGAGAAACAGUAUCUUCGGGAGCCACACAUUCCACUCGGUAGCUCGACUUGACCCCCGUCCUUGUUUACAAGCCGGAGUGGUGCCCUCUUGUGGCGUCAGUGUCGAAACACAGGUCUCUCUUCACAAGAGCGAAAUUAAGAGCUCCUUGACUAGUUUUUAACUUUUCAGGAGAUAGACAUUAUUUCAAAAUUAACACAAAAUCUGAGGCUUUGGUAAUUUCUUCUCUUGCGCUCUCUUAAAUCUUCCUAAUUCAAAUAUUCAUAAAAUGCACUGUUCUUGGGGAGCUUGUUAAAAAUUCCAGUUCUAGGCCCCACCCAGGACAGUCUGGCUCUCCUGGGUGUUAGCUGAACAAUGCCCAGGUCCCACCCACUUCCCAAGGGCCUUCAAAAAUGUCUACGAACUGAAAAGAAACGUAUCUUCUCCAAAAUUUGACCAAAAAUCUGCAAAAUCAGAAUGAAUAACGGGGACGCUUACAACAGGGAACAUUGGCAGUAGCUGCGGCACAAUUCUUACAUAACUAUAUGGAAACGUAAUAAGCGUUUUAGAGAAAGAACAAUAUUGACUAUUUUUUUUUAAAGAUUUUAUUAUUUCCUUUUUUCUCCCCAACACCCCCGGUACAUAGUUGUACACUCUUCGCUGUGGAUUCUUCUAGUUGUGGCAUGUGGGACGCCGCCUCAGCGUGGUUUGAUGAGCAGUGCCAUGUUCGCGCCCAGGAUUCGAACCAACGAAACACUGGGCCGCCUGCAGCGGAGCGCGCAAACUUAACCACUUGGCCACGGGGCUAGCCCCAAUAUUGACUAUUUUUAACAAAACUUAGAUUUGUAAAAUUUAUCAACAUCUUUUCAAAAAUAUUAUGGAAAAUACAUAGUUGUUUGGCCCGUGGGUGCAUUUUCUUCGUCUGGUACGAGAUGUGACCGAGGCUCCAAGGGUCGAGUGCCCAGCCUACAAACUCCAGGGAAUGGCCUGCCUUCAGGCAGAGAUUCUGAUCCGGAAGCUCUGAUGUGGGGCCCAGGAACCGGCCUUUUUAACCAGCAUCAGCCAAUUCCUCUGGGAGAGCCACAAACCACACCUGUGGAAACACUACUGUGCCUAAUGGGGAGCUAUCCCGGAAACUUGAGCAGGAGAGAAGCAUCAUCGAGCUAAACUUCCGGGAAAGUAAUCAGGAGUAUUAUAUUUAAGAUGGUUUGACAAGGGGGC
This 6546-nucleotide long non-coding RNA is filed under the name Equus caballus (horse). Its description in RNAcentral is "eukaryotic translation initiation factor 1 (ENSECAG00000012516.4)". The record is from RNAcentral. Lineage: Eukaryota; Metazoa; Chordata; Mammalia; Perissodactyla; Equidae.